AUACAUGCAAGUCGAGCGGAGUAUUUCCUUCGGGGAAUGCUUAGCGGCGGACGGGUGAGUAACACGUAGGUAACCUGCCUAUCAGAUCGGGAUAACUAUCGGAAACGAUAGCUAAGACCGGAUAAYUGGUUUUCUCGCAUGAGAGAAUUAUGAAACACGGAGCAAUCUGUGGCUGAUAGAUGGGCCUGCGGCGCAUUAGCUAGUUGGUGGGGUAACGGCUCACCAAGGCGACGAUGCGUAGCCGACCUGAGAGGGUGAACGGCCACACUGGGACUGAGACACGGCCCAGACUCCUACGGGAGGCAGCAGUAGGGAAUCUUCCGCAAUGGACGCAAGUCUGACGGAGCAACGCCGCGUGAGUGAUGAAGGUUUUCGGAUCGUAAAGCUCUGUUGCCCUAGACGAACAGCAUGAGGAGUAACUGCCUUGUGUGU
This 432-nucleotide ribosomal RNA is filed under the name Paenibacillus sp. R-46243. Its description in RNAcentral is "bacterial SSU rRNA". It matches the Rfam family "Bacterial small subunit ribosomal RNA", at positions 51 to 476 of the family's 1533-position model. The record is from RNAcentral. Lineage: Bacteria; Bacillati; Bacillota; Bacilli; Caryophanales; Paenibacillaceae.